Molecule: ribosomal RNA, 428 nt
Filed under: uncultured bacterium
Lineage: Bacteria
Description: bacterial SSU rRNA
Rfam family: Bacterial small subunit ribosomal RNA
Source: RNAcentral
ACCUAAUAGAUACCCUGGUAGUCCACGCCCUAAACGAUGCGAACUGGAUGUUGGGUACAUUACGGUACUCAGUGUCGAAAGCUAAACGCGUUAAGUUCGCCGCCUGGGGAGUACGGUCGCAAGACUGAAACUCAAAGGAAUUGACAGGGGCCCGCACAAGCGGUGGAGUAUGUGGUUUAAAUUCGAUGCAACGCGAAGAACCUUACCUGGCCUUGACAUCUGUCGAAUCCUGCAGAGAUGCGGGAGUGCCGCAAGGAACGACAAGACAGGUGCUGCAUGGCUGUCGUCAGCUCGUGUCGUGAGGUGUUGGGUUAAGUCCCGCAACGAGCGCAACCCUUGUCCCUAGUUGCCAGCACAUCAUGGUGGGAACUCUAGGGAGACUGCCGGUGACAAACCGGAGGAAGGUGGGGAUGACGUCAAGUCCUCAU